AUUUUCUUAGUAUAACAGUACAUUUGACUUCCAAUCAGAAAGUCUAGAUUUUUCUAGAGAAAAUA
RNAcentral lists this transfer RNA (65 nucleotides) under Etisus dentatus. RNAcentral describes it as "tRNA-Gly". It matches the Rfam family "tRNA". Rfam says of the family: Transfer RNA (tRNA) molecules are approximately 80 nucleotides in length. Their secondary structure includes four short double-helical elements and three loops (D, anti-codon, and T loops). Lineage: Eukaryota; Metazoa; Arthropoda; Malacostraca; Decapoda; Xanthidae. The record is from RNAcentral.